CAGUAACUUUGCUUAUAAAAUGACGUCUUGUGUGAUUAAAUGGUGCAAAAACAAUACCAAAGUAAACAAAAAAUCUGAAGGAAUAUCGUUUCACACGUUUCCAACGAAUAUUUUAAUAAGAGAUGAAUGGGUAGCGGCUGUAAGACUGAGAAAAUGACCACGAUUAUGCUGGCCAUGCGCAUAAAGUCAAUUUAAUAUGAUUAGUGAUUGAAAAAUAUUUGAACAUAAGACUACAUCAUAUUAGUAAAAUGCAAACAAUGACGAUGACUCUGAGUUCUAAGCGACAAAAAUUUUAAAAACUUAUACAACAUAAAGGAUUCUAGGUUUAAGAAAAAUAGUUAAAAAAAAAC
RNAcentral lists this unclassified non-coding RNA (350 nucleotides) under Melitaea cinxia (Glanville fritillary). RNAcentral describes it as "misc RNA ENSMCXG00005017139.1". The record is from RNAcentral. Lineage: Eukaryota; Metazoa; Arthropoda; Insecta; Lepidoptera; Nymphalidae.